This 89-nucleotide transfer RNA is filed under the name Dissulfuribacter thermophilus. Its description in RNAcentral is "Selenocysteine transfer RNA". It matches the Rfam family "Selenocysteine transfer RNA". Lineage: Bacteria; Pseudomonadati; Thermodesulfobacteriota; Dissulfuribacteria; Dissulfuribacterales; Dissulfuribacteraceae. The record is from Rfam by way of RNAcentral.
GGGGGCGAUGGUACCGGUGUGCCCCACGGGCUGCAAACCCGUUGGCCCUGUCUAAUAAACAGGGAGGAGGUUCGACUCCCCUCGCCCCC